This is a long non-coding RNA of Microplitis mediator, 491 nucleotides long. RefSeq lists it as uncharacterized. Lineage: Eukaryota; Metazoa; Arthropoda; Insecta; Hymenoptera; Braconidae. The transcript is spliced from 3 exons. The record is from RefSeq and is a predicted model, not a curated record.
CACAUGAAGACGUUCCGUCAUGUCUUACCGUUUCACUUACACCAAAUCGUAUCUACGUUUCAUCAUAUAUAUUUUACUGAUGCACUAUAAAAAAACGGUGUAGCGAUGUGAUACAACCGGUGAUAAAACGGUUUACAUGCGGAGUAAAUUAUAGUAGACUCGCGGUUUUUCUUCCGGUCUUUAGGGAUAUUUGGAAGAUAAUCGAGAGAAGGUUAAAAAAUGUGAUAAUCGAUGGUAGAAAUACGUCUGUGCGAAUGUUUUGUGUACUUUUGCAAGAACAAAGGAUCUUCAAGGAACAUAGUGUACACUGUAAUAAAAUCACCGGGAUAUCAAAACGGUCUGUUUAAUUGGAAUUCUAUUAUUCUCGAUUUGUUGGAAGGAAAUUGAAUUGAUGAAGUUCAAUUGAGAAGCGUGAGAUGGCGGUGGAAAAAUGACGAAUUCCUGAUGCCUACACUCUAUCACUUUAUUAUAGGGAAGAGAAUUUACCGGUA